RNAcentral lists this ribosomal RNA (465 nucleotides) under uncultured bacterium. RNAcentral's name for it is "partial 16S ribosomal RNA". It matches the Rfam family "Bacterial small subunit ribosomal RNA", at positions 338 to 795 of the family's 1533-position model. The record is from RNAcentral.
CCUACGGGUGGCAGCAGUAGGGAAUCUUCCACAAUGGACGAAAGUCUGAUGGAGCAACGCCGCGUGAGUGAAGAAGGGCUUCGGCUCGUAAAGCUCUGUUGGUAGUGAGGAAAGAUAGAGAUAGUAACUGGCCUUUAUUUGACGGUAAUUACUUAGAAAGUCACGGCUAACUACGUGCCAGCAGCCGCGGUAAUACGUAGGUGGCAAGCGUUGUCCGGAUUUAUUGGGCGUAAGGCGAUCGCAGGCGGUUCAAUAAGUCUGAUGUGAAAGCCUUCGGCUCAACCGGGGAAUUGCAUCAGAUACUGUUGAGCUUGAGUGCAGAAGAGGAGAGUGGAACUCCAUGUGUAGCGGUGGAAUGCGUAGAUAUAUGGAAGAACACCAGUGGCGAAGGCGGCUCUCUGGUCUGCGACUGACGCUGAGGUGCGAAAGCAUGGGUAGCAAACAGGAUUAGAUACCCUAGUAGUC